CCCGAGCCCUCCGGGAGGCGCGUUGUCACGGAGACCGGCGCCGGUGCCGGCCCGCCGCGCUGCCCCGGCUCUCCCCCGGCCCGCUCCGCGGCUCCCCCCGGCCCCGCUCCCCGCCGCGGGGUGGUGGCUGCGCUUGGCCAUGAGUUUACCGCAGAAGGCGGCUUUGAAACCCGGCGCGGCGGCGGCGGGGACCGGCCCCGGGAGCGGGGCGGCGGCGGGGCCGCCUCCUCCCCCGGCUCCCCCUCACCCGGCGCCGGCGCCUCACCCCAACAUCAGGGCCUUGCCGCCCCAGCCGCCCCAGCAAAUCCCCCGAGGUCCUGUCCAGCAGCCUCUGGAGGAUCGGAUCUUCACUCCGACCGUCUCGGCUGUGUACAGCACUUUUAUCUCCACACAGGUAACACAAGUAGCAAGACAACCGGGUCCUCCUGCCCCAUCCCCUUACACUGCACAUGAAAUAAAUAAGGGACACCCAAACCUUGCUGCAACACCACCGGGACAUGCAUCGUCCCCUGGGCUCUCACAGGCUCCUUAUCCCUCAGGACAGAAUGCAGCUCCAACCACGUUGGUGUACCCUCAAGCCCCUCAAACAAUGAACACGCAGCCUCAGACCCGCUCGCCGUUUGCAGCGGGGCCUCGACCUGCCCAUCACCAGUUUUUUCAGAGGCCUCAGAUCCAGCCUCCAAGAGCCACCAUCCAGAACAGCAGCCCCUCCAUCCGUCCUGGAGCGCAGACCCCGACUGCCGUGUACCAAACCAAUCAGCACAUCAUGAUGGUGAACCACCUGCCAAUGCCCUACCCAAUGCCUCAGGGCCCCCAGUACUGUAUCCCACAGUAUCGUCACAGUGGCCCCCCGUACGUCGGGCCACCCCAGCAAUAUCCUGUGCAGCCACCAGGACCAGGACCCUUUUACCCAGGCCCAGGUCCUGGAGAAUUCCCCAAUGCUUAUGGAACACCCUUCUACCCCAGCCAGCCCGUGUACCAGUCUGCACCCAUCAUUGUGCCUACACAGCAGCAGCAGCCACCGCCUGCCAAGAGAGAGAAGAAAACGAUCCGAAUCCGGGAUCCAAACCAGGGAGGCAAAGACAUAACAGAAGAAAUCAUGUCUGGAGGGGGCAGCAGGAACCCCACGCCCCCCAUCGUCAGACCCACCUCCACCCCGACUCCACCUCAGGCUCACCCUGUUGUCCCUCCUGCCCAGCAGGUGCCCAGCCAGGUCCCCGAGCCCGUUCCCACGGCGUUCGGAACCGUGGAGAGCUCCCAUCCCUCUGGCAGCACCCCCGGCACCGCAGCCCCCGCCUCCAAACAAGAAGAGAAGCCAAAACCAGAUCCAGUAUUAAAACCACCUUCUCCAGUCCUCAGACCAGAACCUACUGGGGAGAAGAAAGAUCAAGCUGGGCACACAGCCGAGUCCCCCACCUCAGUGGAAACCCCACCAGAACUUCCUCGUGCUCCAUCGCCAGCCCCAGCCACUCCGGUCGCAGCUGUCCCCGCGGCUGCCAUUGCCGUCCCCAUGUCCAGCAAAGCCCCACCCGCAGCUGACCCGGAGGACAAAUGUGAACUGGCAGCCCCCAGAGAGGAGGCGAUGCCUACACCCAGUGCCACAGCCUUCCCGGAGCCAGCAGCCCCUCCUCCUGCAGAGGAGCCCAGGGCCGAGGUGUGCACAGAGCCCAGCAGUGCGGUAGCAUCACCCGGUGAUGCGCCGGUGCCGGUGCCGGCCGGGCCUGGUGUCAUCAGUGACACGAGCAGCACCAGGGCCGCAGGGGCCGAGCCCGUGGCAGAGGUGGCCCAGGCAGAAGCUGCAGCGUUGACUGUGGAGUUGGAGCCCCCCGAGGCCCCCCUGGCAGAGCUGGAGAGCGCUCCAUCACCUCCCAGUGCUCCUCACGCUGCCCCCUCUCCUCCUCCCACCCCGCCGCCCACCCCGCCGCCCCCAUCCCCUCCAGUUUCUGUUGCUGCUGUUACCACUACAACUCCUUCACCACCUCCUCUCCCAUCUCCGAGUGCCCUCCCUGUUGUCCAGGGAGAUUUAGAAGGAGAGGAGAGCACAAGAACUACUCCUAGCGAAGAGGUAAAAGAUACUGAAAAGAAGGAAGAGACAGAAACAGAUGGGCAACUGGAGGAGAACCGGGAGGCUCUGAGUGUGAACGCGAGCAGGAGUCCUGUCCCAGCCCAAACUGCUGUAACUGCACCAAAGACCUGGAAGAAACCAAAAGACCGGACCCAAGCCACUGAGGAGGUGACAGAGGCAGAAACAGAGCCUAAGGAGGAGGAGGAGGAGGAACCUUCAGGGGACAAAGUACUUGAAUCUGACCAGGAGAAAAUGAGCCAUGGGCUUCAACCGGAGAGGGAACCCUUAGAGCUCAAAGUGGUGAAACCCGUGGAGGAGAACGGGGAGCCGGAGGCAGAGCCCGUGCGGAACGGUGCCGAGAGCAUCUCGGAGGGCGAGGGCACCGACGCCAACUCCGGCUGCACAGAGAGCUCCGGAGAGGGGCCCGUGUACCAGUGCAAACCAGAGCAGUGGAAGCCCCUAGACCCGGAGGGGAAGAAGCAAUAUGACCGGGAAUUCCUGCUGGAUAUCCAGUUCAUGCCUGCCUGUAUCCAGAAGCCCGAGGGGCUGCCUCCCAUCAGCGAUGUGGUGCUCGACAAGGUGAGGGGAGAGCCCAUAAAACAGGUCAGUCAGCCGAAAUUGCCGCUGAGGACUCUGGACCCCCGGAUCCUGCCACGAGGCCCCGACUUCACACCAGCCUUUGCUGAUUUUGGGAGGCAAGCCCCCGGGGGAAGAAACGUGUCUGGAAGUGCCUGCAAAGUGCAGAGCACCCCUGGAUUGCCCUCCCUGGCUCGAUGCGGGCCCCCAGCAUGCCCUCUCUUGGUCUCGCCUCACCCACCAUUGAGGAACCUGCCGAUAGGGUUGUUGAAUGUUGGACCGAGGAGAUCUCAGCCGGGCCAGAGGAGAGAGCCCAGGAAGAUCAUCACUGUGUGUGUGAAGGAGGAUGUGCACCUGAAGAAGGCAGAGAACGCCUGGAAGCCGAGCCUGAAGAGAGAAAGCCAAACAGAGGACCCAGAAAAUGUCAAAACCCAGGAGCUGUUCCGCAAGGUACGAAGCAUCUUGAACAAGCUGACACCCCAGAUGUUCAACCAGCUCAUGAAGCAGGUGACAGACCUGACGGUGGACACGGAGGAGAGGCUGAAGGGAGUGAUUGACCUGGUCUUUGAGAAGGCCAUCGACGAGCCCAGCUUCUCCGUGGCGUACGCCAACAUGUGCCGGUGCCUGGUGACGCUGAAAGUGCCCAUGGCAGACAAACCUGGGAGCACAGUAAAUUUCCGUAAGUUGCUGUUAAAUCGCUGCCAGAAGGAAUUUGAAAAGGACAAGGCUGACGAUGAUGUCUUUGAAAAGAAGCAGAAAGAACUCGAAGCUGCCACCACUCCAGAGGAGAAGACGCGGCUCCAUGACGAGCUGGAAGAGGCCAAGGACAAAGCCCGGCGGAGAUCCAUUGGGAAUAUAAAAUUCAUUGGCGAGCUUUUCAAGCUGAAGAUGCUGACAGAGGCCAUCAUGCACGACUGCGUGGUGAAGCUGCUGAAAAACCACGAUGAGGAGUCCCUUGAGUGCCUUUGCCGCCUGCUCACGACCAUUGGCAAGGACCUGGACUUUGAGAAGGCAAAGCCCCGUAUGGACCAGUAUUUUAAUCAGAUGGAGAAGAUUGUGAAAGAGAGGAAAACCUCCUCAAGGAUUCGGUUCAUGCUUCAGGAUGUAAUAGACCUAAGGCUGUGCAACUGGGUGUCACGGAGAGCAGACCAGGGCCCCAAGACCAUCGAGCAGAUCCAUAAAGAAGCCAAGAUCGAAGAGCAGGAAGAACAGAGGAAGGUGCAACAACUCAUGACCAAAGACAAGAGGAGACCGGGUGUCCCGCGGGUCGACGAAGGCGGCUGGAACACUGUGCAGGGGGCAAAGAACAGCAGAGUGCUGGACCCCACCAAGUUCCUUAAAAUCACCAAGCCCACAAUAGAUGAGAAGAUUCAGCUCGUGCCUAAAGCCCAGUUGGGCAGCUGGGGGAAGGGCAGCAGUGGUGGAGCCAAGGCAAGCGAGAUGGACUCCUUGCGACCAAGUGCCACAAGUCUGAACAGAUUUUCUGCCCUGCAGCCUCCGGUCUCCCCAGUAUCUGCCUCAUCUGCAUCUUCAGAACUAGACUCUCGCAGGGCCUUAACAAGUCGUGGGAGCACGGGCAGGGAGAAGAACGACAAACCUCUGCCACCUUCCCUGUCCCGGCCCAACACCUUCCUCCGGGGCAGCAGCAGCAAGGAGCUGCUGCUGGACAACCAGGCCCAGGAGGAGCAGCGCAGGGAGAUGCUGGAGACGGUGAAGCAGCUGACAGGAGGCAUGGAGAUGGACAGGAACAGCACCGAGGCGGAGAGGAACAAAGCCAAGGAAUCUGCCAAGCCAGAAACUCCCCCAGCUCCAGUGCAAGAAAAGCCUUCACUAUCAGAAGAGGAAAUAGAGAGAAAAUGCAAAUCUAUCAUUGAUGAGUUCUUGCAUAUUAAUGAUUUUAAGGAGGCCGUGCAGUGUGUGGAGGAGCUGAGUGCCCAGAGCCUGCUGCCCGUGUUUGUGCGCGUGGGCGUGGAGUCGACGCUGGAGCGGAGUCAGAUCACCAGGGAUCAUAUGGGCCAGUUGUUACAUCAGCUGGUGCAGUCAGGAAAGCUGAGCAAGCAGGAUUUCUUCAAGGGUUUUUCUGAGACCCUGGAGAUGGCAGACGACAUGGCUAUAGAUAUACCCCAUAUCUGGUUAUACCUGGCUGAGCUGGUGACCCCCAUGUUAAAAGAAGGAGGAAUCUCUAUGAGAGAACUUAUACAAGAAUUUAGCAAACCCUUGCUUCCUGUGGGAAGAGCCGGCAUCUUGCUUGCUGAAAUCUUGCACCUUCUAUGCAAACAAAUGGUACCUUUGCACCUGGCUUCUCCCAGAAGCUAAGAGUGCUGAAAUACUGCAAGAGGGACAUGCUCAAGGGAUUUCUGGGCUGACCAGAAGCAGCAAGUGCCGGGAAUCUUGCGAGAGAACUGUUCUUGCAGACCAGAGAGGUUCUCAGGGUUCGGAUAAGCUUCCGAUGGCCUCAGACUGCUGUGUGCUUAUCCAAACUAAAUCUGCCGACUCUUGAGGUUCACCCACCACUGGGGUAGUGACACCUCCUCACCCCGUGACUCCGAGAGCUCUCUUUCACACCUCACAGCUGUGUGUCCAACCAGUUUGGUGGUUUCCCUAUAACUCAUCUCCAUUUUUGUCUUUUUUUUCUUUUUUUUCUUUUUUUCUUUUUUUUUUAAAUCCAGCUAAAUCCUGCACUUUGGAUAGUGUCAAUUUCCAACCCUGUAAAAUCCCUCACUUGCCUUUUUUUUUUAUUAUUUUUUCAAGCAUGCAUUCAAGUAAGGUUGAAUGUUCCAGGAGCAUUUCAGUCCAACAGUGCAAAGAGUGACUUUUUAUUUAUUUACUUUAGUCUUGUGCUUGUUUGGACAGUCAAAUUCCAUUUUUUUUUUAAACUGUUCUGUGAAAGAAAAGCUGCUGUGCUCUAGGUGUGGAAGCACAGCCUUGGGUCUCUGUUUCUGCCACAGCUUUCUGAUUUGAUGAUCUUGUCCAGGCCGAGACUUGGACUCUGGUAUUUCAGUGUAACAUCAGCCAUCUAAUCCAGAUCUUGAUGGAUCACAGCAGGAACUAUGCACACAGUUGUCUCUUAACAACCUGUAUUGUAAACUGAAAAUUGUAAUCUGCUUUGUAAACCUAAAAUCAGGCUGCAUUUCUCAGCUUGGCUUAGGCUACUCAGUGAUCUCCUGUGAGCAGGUGCUGUAAGGUGAAACUUGGCAAAGCAUUUGGGUGAAAAGAGCUGGUUGUGCUCAGUGUUUUUAUUCUUGUAAGAACUGUGUGUCAGAACUGUGCUCUCUGAGGCAAGAGGCUCAAAGGUCAGGUGGUAUUAGAGGCUGCAAAAGGCAGAACCGUCUGUGCUCAAAGGCACUGCUCUCAAGGUUUGCAUAAACUCUAGGAACUGAAGAGAGAAUUCGGGAUCAUGUGCCUGAAUUUGAGGCAUGAUCUCUGCACAGAAAGCAGGUGUGUAAAUGAGGAAUUUUCAAAGGAGCAGUUUGCCAGAGCCUUACUGUCAAGCCAAGGGAUUGUGAGUAACGGAGUAAGACAGGAAAGGGAUCUGAGUCACCUGUGCCAGCUCUGUGUCAGGCCGUGGGAAAGUGCCCUGUUCCGUGUGUCACUGCUCCUGGGUAACCUUGGAGGUUGUUGCAAACCCCCCGUGUCACAUCUGCCUUGCCCAUUCCCCGUCACAAGGCGUUGCCCACCCGACAAGGGGUGCAUACCCAGGGGAUUGCACAUGUGGUUUCUCUUGCACGGGGCCUCCGGAUGUUCUCACUCAUUGCCGGGCGUUUGUUGGGUGGCUGAACUGUCCUUUAUUCCUCCUGACACAGCUGCACCAUUCUGGCCCCUGUGAGUUCCCAGGGUGUCCCUCAGCUCCUUAAAUGGACAAACUGCUUGUUUUUCAGAGCCAUAAGAAAGUGGGAGCCUUAUGGAGGGAGUCUGGCCUCAGUUGGAAGGACUACUUGCCCGAAGGGGAGGAUGUACAUACCUUUCUCACGGAACAAAAGUUGGAGUUCACGGAGUCUGACUGUUCCAGUUCCUCAGAAGCACUUUC
Molecule: RNA transcript, 6668 nt
Organism: Prinia subflava (tawny-flanked prinia)
Lineage: Eukaryota; Metazoa; Chordata; Aves; Passeriformes; Cisticolidae
Gene: EIF4G3
Gene name: eukaryotic translation initiation factor 4 gamma 3
Exons: 32
Source: RefSeq, a predicted model, not a curated record